UAGGGAUACCCGCUGAACUUAAGCAUAUCAAUAAGCGGAGGAAAAGAAACCAACAGGGAUUACCUCAGUAACGGCGAGUGAAGCGGUAAUAGCUCAAAUUUGAAAUCUGGCUCUUUCAGGGUCCGAGUUGUAAUUUGUAGAGGAUGCUUCAGGUGUGGCUCCGGUCUAAGUUCCUUGGAACAGGACGUCAUAGAGGGUGAGAAUCCCGUAUGUGACUGGAUGCCUUCGCCUAUGUGAAGCUCUUUCGACGAGUCGAGUUGUUUGGGUAUGCAGCUCAAAAUGGGUGGUAAAUUUCAUCUAAAGCUAAAUAUUGGCCAGAGACCGAUAGCGCACAAGUAGAGUGAUCGAAAGACGAAAAGCACUUUGGAAAGGGAGUUAAACAGUACGUGAAAUUGUUGAAAGGGAAGCGCUUGCAACCAGACUUGCACACAGUUGAUCAUCCGGUGUUCUCACCGGUGCACUCUGCUGCGUUCAGGCCAGCAUCGGUUUUGGUGGUUGGAUAAAGGCCUUGGGGAAUGUAGCUUCUUUCGGGGAGUGUUAUAGCCCUCGGUGCAAUGCAGCCUACUGGGACCGAGGACCGCGCUUCGGCUAGGAUGCUGGCGUAAUGGUUGUAAGCGACC
RNAcentral lists this ribosomal RNA (620 nucleotides) under uncultured fungus. RNAcentral's name for it is "eukaryotic LSU rRNA". It matches the Rfam family "Eukaryotic large subunit ribosomal RNA", at positions 16 to 649 of the family's 3401-position model. The record is from RNAcentral. Lineage: Eukaryota; Fungi.